GGGCUUGGAUGCUAAUUGUAGCUAGCUUCUAUCCAUUUAUAUUUUAGUUUCUAUUAAUUUCUCUUUUUGAUACUGUUCCUGAGUCUAUGCUGGUCUGCUGGCUGCUUGACUAUAGCUAAAGUUUCUAAUGAAGGGCACACUAGUAGAGCUACAACUCCAGCCUUGAAAUGCACAGGCAGACAGAAAAAUAUAUUGAAAACACA
Molecule: unclassified non-coding RNA, 203 nt
Filed under: Hevea brasiliensis (rubber tree)
Lineage: Eukaryota; Viridiplantae; Streptophyta; Magnoliopsida; Malpighiales; Euphorbiaceae
Source: RNAcentral